RNAcentral lists this ribosomal RNA (505 nucleotides) under uncultured bacterium. RNAcentral describes it as "partial 16S ribosomal RNA". It matches the Rfam family "Bacterial small subunit ribosomal RNA", at positions 28 to 507 of the family's 1533-position model. The record is from RNAcentral.
GACGAACGCUGGCGGCGUGCCUAAUACAUGCAAGUAGAACGCACAGUUUAUACCGUAGCUUGCUACACCAUAAACUGUGAGUUGCGAACGGGUGAGUAACGCGUAGGUAACCUGCCUGGUAGCGGGGGAUAACUAUUGGAAACGAUAGCUAAUACCGCAUAAUAUUGAUUAUUGCAUGAUAAUUGAUUGAAAGAUGCUAUUGCAUCACUACCAGAUGGACCUGCGUUGUAUUAGCUAGUAGGUGAGGUAACGGCUCACCUAGGCGACGAUACAUAGCCGACCUGAUAGGGUGAGCGGCCACACUGGGACUGAGACACGGCCCAGACUCCUACGGGAGGCAGCAGUAGGGAAUCGUCGGCAAUGGACGAAAGUCUGACCGAGCAACGCCGCGUGAGUGAAGAAGGUUUUCGGAUCGUAAAGCUCUGUUGUAAGAGAAGAACGGGUGUGAGAGUGGAAAGUUCACACUGUGACGGUAUCUUACCAGAAAGGGACGGCUAACUACGUG